CUCGACUUCGCAGCCACGCACACGAAUGGCCUCUACGAGAAGUCCACGCGAAGUUCCUGAAGAGAUCCAAUCCUGCGGAAGUGCUAGCUUGCGCAGAAUUUCUUGAGGCUGAAAUUUGAUCUUCCAAACGCUAUCAACUUUUGAUCCGCCUUCUUGGAAGAACUUGGAGGAAAGGUUUAAAGGGAUUGAAGAGGACUUAGAUCUGAUCUAAAGACUCUUAUCAGGGACCCCUAACACUAAUGGCGCGAUGGACUUAGAGGAGGAAGAAGUCAGCUAGAUUGAAUGCAGAAUUUUUCCAUGCAUGAACUAGUGUUCCUCUCUUUUCUUUUCCCUUUUUUC
This 339-nucleotide long non-coding RNA is filed under the name Phoenix dactylifera (date palm). RNAcentral's name for it is "long non-coding RNA (PDAC_LNC004770)". The record is from RNAcentral. Lineage: Eukaryota; Viridiplantae; Streptophyta; Magnoliopsida; Arecales; Arecaceae.